UGCCAAUGAUGACACUUAUUUGCUACUCUUGACAUGUUGAAUGAUGAACAUUUUCACCACUUUACCGAUACUGAGGCA
Small nucleolar RNA from Amblyraja radiata (thorny skate), 78 nucleotides. RefSeq annotates it as small nucleolar RNA SNORD24. The transcript has a single exon. Lineage: Eukaryota; Metazoa; Chordata; Chondrichthyes; Rajiformes; Rajidae. The record is from RefSeq and is a predicted model, not a curated record.